AUUGAACGCUGGCGGAAUGCUUUACACAUGCAAGUCGAACGGCAGCACGGGGCAACCUGGUGGCGAGUGGCGAACGGGUGAGUAAUAUAUCGGAACGUGCCCAGUCGUGGGGGAUAACUAGCCGAGAGGUUAGCUAAUACCGCAUACGACCGAGAGGUGAAAGCGGGGGACCGCAAGGCCUCGCGCGAUUGGAUGAGCCGACGUCGGAUUAGCUAGUUGGCGGGGUAAAGGCCCACCAAGGCGACGAUCCGUAGCUGGUCUGAGAGGAUGAUCAGCCACACUGGAACUGAGACACGGUCCAGACUCCUACGGGAGGCAGCAGUGGGGAAUAUUGGACAAUGGGCGCAAGCCUGAUCCAGCAAUGCCGCGUGUGUGAAGAAGGCCUUCGGGUUGUAAAGCACUUUUAUCAGGAACGAAAGCGUUGGAUUAAUACUCUGACGUGCUGACGGUACCUGAGGAAUAAGCACCGGCUAACUUCGUGCCAGCAGACCG
RNAcentral lists this ribosomal RNA (492 nucleotides) under uncultured bacterium. RNAcentral describes it as "bacterial SSU rRNA". It matches the Rfam family "Bacterial small subunit ribosomal RNA", at positions 29 to 517 of the family's 1533-position model. The record is from RNAcentral.